Aedes aegypti (yellow fever mosquito) is the source of this 778-nucleotide long non-coding RNA. RefSeq lists it as uncharacterized. The transcript has 2 exons. The record is from RefSeq and is a predicted model, not a curated record. NCBI's taxonomy places the organism in Eukaryota, Metazoa, Arthropoda, Insecta, Diptera, Culicidae.
UGCUACACUCAAAAUAAUCUAAACGUCAUUACUACGUGGAAACUCACGUAGGUUCAUGAUAAUGAACCUUCCUCUGACUUUACCUGACUAAGGUAACAGUUACCGUUUCAUAAAUUAACGUUAUUUGUUGCUUUGAUAGUUUUCACUGCAUCAACCUAUCGACCUUACGUGAAAUCUACGUACAUGCUUUAAUUCAUUCCAAACGUGUUCAUCUUCGAUUCAUUUUGUGUUUUAUCAAAUGUAAAGAUGGCGUCAAGUGAAAAUAAACAUAAAGAUUUGAUGGACUUCCAAUUAAUUUAAUUAGUUACCUAUAUUAAAGUUAUUAUUUUAAAUGUUGUAGUAAGGAUUCCAUUAAUUAGAAUGUUACUUCUCAAUAGAUCAUCGGGCCAUUUUUUUUCUGAGUCGCAUCAUUGUUAGCAAUGCGGGUCAAAUUGGUACGUGGUACUGGAAGAGCUGAUGCUGGUCAAAAUGGUUUUCCCGUUUUUGAAAUUUAAACAAACGUUGCCUUUAACUAUGUGCCGAAGGAUUUUCGAGAACAUCGAGUCGAAACACACACAGACACACACCAAAACCAGACUAUCUUGUUACCUGAUUGUGUGAAAUACCUUAUUUUGAUCAAAACCGAUGGUUCAAUAAAUAAAAGUAAAACUUUAUGUAUUACUCGUUUUAUUGAAAAAUAACGUUAUUUAAAAAUAACAAUGCGAAAGCAGCAUUGCACCUACACAGAAUUUUAGUACAGUUUACCGGGAACAUACCUUAGGUUCUAUUCAACUACUUG